RNAcentral lists this ribosomal RNA (253 nucleotides) under uncultured bacterium. Its description in RNAcentral is "partial 16S ribosomal RNA". It matches the Rfam family "Bacterial small subunit ribosomal RNA", at positions 524 to 776 of the family's 1533-position model. The record is from RNAcentral.
GACAGAGGAUGCAAGCGUUAUCCGGAAUGAUUGGGCGUAAAGCGUCUGUAGGUGGCUUUUUAAGUUCGCCGUCAAAUCCCAGGGCUCAACCCUGGACAGGUGGUGGAAACUACCAAGCUAGAGUACGGUAGGGGCAGAGGGAAUUUCCGGUGGAGCGAUGAAAUGCGUAGAGAUCGGAAGGAACACCAAUGGCGAAGGCAGCUCGCUGGGACGUGACUGACGCUGAGACGCGAAAGCGUGGGGAGCAAACAGG